UCCGAAGGAAAUUCCUUCGAAUUUCCGAAGGAAAUUCCUUCAAUUUCGAAGGAAAUUGCUUCGAAUUUCGAAGGAAAUUCCUUCGAAUUUCGAAGGAAAUUCCUUCGAAUUUCGAAGGAAAUUCCUUCGAAUUUCGAAGGAAAUUCCUUCGAAUUUCGAAGGAAAUUCCUUCGAAUUUUCGAAGGAAAUUCUUCGAAUUUCGAAGGAAAUUCUUCGAAUUUCGAAGGAAAUUCUUCAAUUUCGAAGGAAAUUCCUUCG
Small nucleolar RNA from Armigeres subalbatus, 258 nucleotides. RefSeq annotates it as small nucleolar RNA snR191. The record is from RefSeq and is a predicted model, not a curated record. NCBI's taxonomy places the organism in Eukaryota, Metazoa, Arthropoda, Insecta, Diptera, Culicidae. The transcript has a single exon.